This 750-nucleotide ribosomal RNA is filed under the name uncultured bacterium. Its description in RNAcentral is "bacterial SSU rRNA". It matches the Rfam family "Bacterial small subunit ribosomal RNA", at positions 59 to 822 of the family's 1533-position model. The record is from RNAcentral.
CAGUCGAACGAGCGAGAGGAGGUUUACUUUCUCAAGCGAGUGGCGAACGGGUGAGUAACGCGUGAGGAACCUGCCUCAAAGAGGGGGACAACAGUUGGAAACGACUGCUAAUACCGCAUAAGCCCACGACCCGGCAUCGGGUAGAGGGAAAAGGAGCAAUCCGCUUUGAGAUGGCCUCGCGUCCGAUUAGCUAGUUGGUGAGGUAAUGGCCCACCAAGGCGACGAUCGGUAGCCGGACUGAGAGGUUGAACGGCCACAUUGGGACUGAGACACGGCCCAGACUCCUACGGGAGGCAGCAGUGGGGAAUAUUGCACAAUGGGGGAAACCCUGAUGCAGCGACGCCGCGUGGAGGAAGAAGGUCUUCGGAUUGUAAACUCCUGUUGUUGAGGAAGAUAAUGACGGUACUCAACAAGGAAGUGACGGCUAACUACGUGCCAGCAGCCGCGGUAAAACGUAGGUCACGAGCGUUGUCCGGAAUUACUGGGUGUAAAGGGAGCGCAGGCGGGAAGACAAGUUGGAAGUGAAAUCCAUGGGCUCAACCCAUGAACUGCUUUCAAAACUGUUUUUCUUGAGUAGUGCAGAGGUAGGCGGAAUUCCCGGUGUAGCGGUGGAAUGCGUAGAUAUCGGGAGGAACACCAGUGGCGAAGGCGGCCUACUGGGCACCAACCGACGCUGAGGCUCGAAAGUGUGGGUAGCAAACAGGAUUAGAUACCCUGGUAGUCCACACUGUAAACGAUGAUUACUAGGUG